CGCGCGGCCGCCAUGGCGGCCCGGCGCUCGGCGGGGAAACAGCCGCUGAUCCCUGAGGGAGAAGGCUCCAGUGCAGGGCCGUGUUAACGGAAAAAAUCCAGCUUUUACCAUAGGAGAGUGCGUUUAGGGGGUAAAAAAGAAUCACAGAAUCAUUCAGGUGGGAAAAGACCUCUGAAUCUGUGCCAAAUCACCACCACCCCAACCAGCACUGAGUGCUACAUCCAGUCAUUCCUUGAACACCUCCAGGGUUGAUGGAGUCCAGCAGUUAAGAAGAACCCAGCACUCCUGUAUAUGGAUAAUAUCUUUCACUGGAUUAGAUUAAAUAAAAAUGGAACCUCUGCUAUUUCAACAGCAGCCUAGGAGCUUUUGGAGGGAGGGGACCUUCCUUCAGCUUUGGGUUUGAGAAAUAUUUUGUAAGGGGAGACGUGGUUGUGGCAGCCAGGAGAGUGCAAACCACCAGGAGAGUGCAAACAAUCAGAAAAGUAUAAACAACCAGGAGAGUCCAAACAACCAGGAGAGUGGAAACCACCAGGAGAUUGCAAACAGCGAGGAGAAUGCAAACAACCACGAGAAUGCAAACCACCAGGAGAGUACAAACAACCAGUAGAGUACAAACAACCCAUCCCAGGUCCCUCUCUUGUCCCUGAAGCGUGCUCAAGCCAUGCUAGCCACGGGAUACUCAUCCCAAGCUGUCAGGAAUACAGGACAGGGAGCGUGCUCCAGAGUGCUCCUGGUGACACUAACUCAGCUGGACAGCCUGUGCUCUGCAGGAGAAGGCAGUUUUCCUGCUGCUGCUCUGUCUGGUACCUCAGGGCUGUACCAAAGAAAUGAGAUUUCACUUGCUGAGUCAGGGGCAAAGAUUGUGUUUGACAGGGCUGAGUCAUCUCUCCAAGCUCAUCCCCAGGCUGCUUCCCAAAAGCACAGCUCCUGAAAUGAGCCCAGAGCCCUCAAAUCCUGGGGAGAGUGGGGGCAGGAGGGGGUUAGGACAGCAGCCUGUUUGUCCUGCCUGGCCUGCUCUCCUGCCAGGCUCUCCUUGUCAGGAUGCUGAGUCUCUGGGGCCACAUCUGGCUCGGGGCACUGAGGCAGCAGCAGAGGCUGGAGCCCAGGGCUGAUGGCACCCGAUGGAUUUGCUCUCCUGGGCACACUCACCCUGGAGUUCUGUUCUAUUAGAUCUUCUCCCCAAUGGAUGAACCCUGAGGCAUCUGCAGGGAUGGUCUUCAAGGGGAAUUUGUCACCUUGUGUCACGUUCAUGUGUGGCUGCUCAAAGCUCUGGCAAUAAAGAGCAGUUGCCAUGGGCAAAUGUGGAUAAGCAGGACCAGAGCAGCUCAUUCCCACUUAAACUACUCUCAGAGUGAGGUGGACAUGGUGCACAAAAUAAUUUUGAAGUCCAUUAGAAGCAUUUUAUAGCAUAGAAUAAAAGAGAUUUUCUUAAGGCACCUGCACUGGGAGUUCAAGUGAAGGUCCUUCACUCUGCUCAGCACAGGCAGCAGUGCCUGGUGGCUGCUUACUCAUCCCUCAGCAGAGAAGUGAGAGCAGAGACUCAGGCCCUGCUCUAACCCACUUGCAAGUCAUUCCCCAAGAACAUCCUCAGAGAGGAAGGAUGGGCUUGGGUCACUUUUACCCUGUGACUCAUUUAAUCCCUCGUGUGAGCACAUAGCAACAAAACCACACAGUGACAUCAGGAGUGACACAGACACACCAGCCUCCUCCAGCAAGGGGCAGAAGGCAAAAUAAACAAGUACUGAGACAUGAGUUAGACCAGGAGCCCUCUACAAAGCAGCUGCUGAAACUGAACUGCCCAAAUCCCACUGGGCAGACAUUGGGAGUGGUCACUCACACACAGAAAAGCAGAACUCCCGAGGCAGAGGGAGAACUGGGCCCAAAGCAGAGCUCCAGGGGCAGGUCCAGCUCUGGGACUGACUGUGGAGACACCCUCAGUUCCUCCUUGCCCUGGCAGCUGGAGCAAGGCUUGUCACGGGGGUGCAGAGCAGGCAAUUAUAGAAGCAGGGAUGCCACAGGGCUGGCCAGCUCUCUAUUUAUAGUUCCCUGCCAGCACAGCUCUCCCUCUGUGCUCCUGCUCACAGGUGAAGGCACAGGCCAUGCCCUGAAAGGCUCACAGGCCAAGUGAAAACAGAAGGAGGAAGGACUAGCUAUCCCUUUUAUGAUGAGAACCAAGAAUCAGAGAUGAAAUGACAAAAAAGAAAUCCACAGAGAGCCUGGAACAAUGAAUUCCAACUUCUCCCCCCAAAAUUGCCCUGUAUUUGGUUAACCUCUUCCCUGCCUGAAGUACCAUCUCUCUGCCAUUCUUAAUUGGUGUCAGUGAAGUGUUCUGCAAGCUGUGGCCCCUCUUUCCACUGUUGAAUUGUUUCCAGCAGAGGUGGGAGAAGGGCUCUGGGCCUGCCUGUCCCCCUGCAGCCCCGGGUUCGUGGCCAGGGUGGGAGGCAGCAGAUCAGACAGCAUCCCAGACACUGCCCUGCCCCAUGAUCCACUCCAGAGUGAGCCUCUGCCAGCUCCAGGGGUUCAGGGUGGCAGCUGGCCAGGGGUCCAAGUCAAAGAGUUGCCAUUGUUUCAUGGGGAGGAUUAAACCACAAGCUGUUUGUGAGCUGAACUUUGAAGUGUCUCCCCAGUGAUCUGAAAUGUGAUCAUGCAACAAAGAGAGACCUCUACAAAUACUCUUUUUGUGUUUGAAGCUGGAGACCUUUCACUGGUUUAUUUUUAGGCAUGCAUUUGCACUGGCCCUCUUACAAUCCUGCCUCUGUUCUUGUGCAAUAAAAGACAGAGGGGAUUCACUUGACCUCCAGUAUCAAAUACAGAAAAAAUAAGGCAUUUGUCUGGAAAAGAACCACCCAAAAUAGCAGGGAAGGGGUCAUGCUGUGAUAUGGACUGUUAGUGUUGAAAGACAAGAAAAAUGAGGAUUAUAGGAGCUGGCAGACUUCCUCUAAUGACAUAUUAAUGAAAACUGCUAGAAAAUUAUAUGGUGAUGCUAAUUAGUAUUUGUAGGUUUAAGGACCUGAGAUCUUUCCCAUGUACACUAAACAUGUGUCUGAGAGUAAGAAAUAAUCCCUGCUGAGGUGACUUCUCAGUUUUCAUUGAGGAUUUGUUCUAGAUCCAGAGCAUUUCCUUUGCUACACGUGGCUUUAGCUGAGAAACUGAUGCUCUGCAUCAGCCAGCUCAUGUUCCCUAACCCCCUCACAGCCCCUCCUCAGGCCUUGCAACACCCUGAUGUAGACAAUUAUCACUACAUUCAUUUUCUGUCUUGCCCCUCCUUGAAGAAGCUGGGGAAAGAGCCCAGAGGACCUGACUGGAUGUUUAAUUUCUGUCACAUCAGCAGGGCCAUCUGCAGCAGGCAUUUCCCACUGACAAGAGAAGGAAGGUUAAAACCUCUCAUGACAGGUUAACAGCAUGAUUUGCAGCAACAGCUUAAAUAAAUGGUUCCAGGCAUGAAAGAGUAGCAGGCAGCUAAUCCUUUAAAGACUUAAGAGCAGCUACUACUUCAGCCCAAGUAAAUAUUUCAAAACAAAAUUAAUUAGUGGUGACUAGUGGAUUUGCUGCCCUUUGCUUUAACAGCCCAGGAUGAAACAGUGAUUCUUCCACAGAAUUUUUGCUUCCGUGCCAAACCUGCUGUUUCACAGGAGCUGAAAGUCCUCUCAAAGAAGAUUCAUCACAGCUUUGUUCCUCUCUGUAACUGCAGAGCUGGAAAAGCUCUGCAUGAACCUCACAGAUCUGUGUUGCUGUGGGAGGGGAGGUCCCUUUGUGCUGCCCAGGGAUGAGGACAACAGCACAGCUCAGAAUCCAGCCCGAGUACAGUGUGGAGGAAGGAAAUGUCACUUCCUGAUUCUUAUCAGAAGAAAGCUCUGUCCAUGCAGGCCACAAAACAGAGCUCCCAGUAAUUGCCUUACUUCCAAUUGAAAGCAGUUCCUUAAUCCCUUCCCAGACAGGAGAGCAGGAAAGGAAAAGCCUCAGGGAAACAAGUCCUGAGCCAGCACAAACCAUGGUCUGACUGAGCCACAACAGCAAACCAGUCAAUCCCAUCAAUUGGAAACAAUAAUUUCUAAUCAACAAUUGAGUUCUUCCCCCCACGACCCUUGGCUCCACCUCAGAACAAAGCCAACUCUCUUGGGAGGCUCUGUCAUGGCCUUGCUGCACUGUCUGGACUAUUUUUAAUCAAAUCCAGCAUUCCUAAAAAACCUCAAGCUGCUUUUGUACUCAGGAGGGGGAGAGGAAGUGCUGUGCACAGGCACAUCCCACACAGCACACAGGAGUGGGACCAGCACCUGCCUUGGAGCAGGGCAGCACAGCUGGGCCAGCACAGAGCCUGGGAAAACAGCAAAGAUUGUCUCUUCUCAUCAGGCUGAGAAGGCAGGAAGGGAAGGCAGGACUGGCCCGGGCUGGAAGGGUGUCUGCAGUGGUUGGGAGGCCAGGGAGAUGCAAGGGCUGGGGGAUGUCCCCUACCUGCUGAAGGGAUGCAGCUCCUGAGGACAGCAGCAGGGGAGGCCAGCUGGGAAGGCAGGACCAGCCAGAGCCCUGGAGGAGCUGUCAGGGCAGAGAUCUUGAGAAGAGCAGGACAAACACUCCAAGGGAAGGGCCAGGAGGAGGCUCCAGGCGAGGCUCAGGCAGAGGGGAUGAGGAGCAGUCCCAUGGAUGGGCUGAUGUUCAGGACUUUUAAGGACCAGGCACGAGGGGGAGGAGUGUGGAGAGCACUUGGAGAAGCUCAUUCAGAGCAGGGCACAGCACAGAUCCCUCUCGAAGUUGUGCUGAGUCAUUUCUUCCUGCCCUGAGGGGUUUUUACGUGGCUUUUGUGCCACAGCAAAUCCCUAUUUCUGUAGGGAGCCUCUCUGUGAAGAGUGAUGCUGAAUUUGGCUAAUUGCAGGUGACAGAAAGCAAACCCGGGCUGGGCUGAGUGCUCCUGCAGAACAGCCCCAGGGAAGCAGCAGAGAUGCUGCUGCUCAUUUGCUGUUUGCUCACACACAGCGCUGGCUUCCCGGCUCUGUUCACAGCCUGGGGGUCGUAGCUUCACAUCCUCUCUGUGUUGUUUCACACAACUUCUACUGAAAUGUUCUCAGGACUAAGGUCAGAGCCUGCUGCCCUGCCCAGCCCAGCCUCUCACACCUUUCCCAAACAGGACAACACCCAGCCAGGCCCUGAGGAUGAGGUUACCAAAAAGUGAGAGGAAAUGGAAUUCACUGCUGAGAAAAUGUGAACAGAGUUACAAACUUGAAUUUCCAUGGGACCAGUGAUGGGUUUUGCUCUUCUCCCCACCCCAUAGACUUCCAGCAGCAAGUGGAGAAUCUCAGAGAGAAGGAGCAGCAGUGAUGCUUUUUCCAUAUAAACUUCCCUUCCACUUCCUCCCUCCAAAUGAACCCAGGUUCUUGUCCCCUAAGAGAGGCUGAUUCAUGGUUUGACGUCAGCAGCUGCUCUCCUGGCCAGAGCCAGCUGGAAUUGACACAUUCCAGCUGCUGCCAGCAGCAGUGUCCCUUGUGCCCUGAGCCAACCCAGCAGCUGGGGCUGGCAGCAGAGAGGGAAGGUGCCCAGCUGUGCCUCCAGAGGUGGAAAGGGAGAGCCUGAACUUAACCAGCUCUUCCUCAGAGUGCAGUGCUGGGAUUCACACAGGGGAGUAGAGACAAGU
Long non-coding RNA from Oenanthe melanoleuca, 5626 nucleotides. RefSeq lists it as uncharacterized. Lineage: Eukaryota; Metazoa; Chordata; Aves; Passeriformes; Muscicapidae. The record is from RefSeq and is a predicted model, not a curated record. The transcript has 4 exons.